AGGCGGAGUCGGGCUUCAAAGGUGCGCCUGCGCAAGCGAGACGAGUUUUCUUUCCUUUUAGGCUGCCGGAUCCGUAGCUUAAUUCCUUGGAAGCGAUCCGUUUAAGCGGAAUUCCCCGGAGAAGGAAGAGGAAGAGGGCAACGGAUGGGCAGCGUAAACAAUCUCGCGGCUCAUAAAAAUCGUAAUAUUGUCUUCCUCGGAUAAAAGGGCGUUUACAUUCUUUUUGCACGGAAAGAACUGGAACCCUCAAAAUCUUAGAAUUCCAGGGGCUUUAAGAUUCGAAUGAAGCCAGCCAUCCUAUCCAAAAUCCUUUCAUGCUCUUGCACGGAAACUCAAGGAGAACAAGAAUCUGAGGGGAAACGGGAUGAGCCCACCACUAUGCAAAUAAUCUGACUCACAUGGAGGAAAACACUAAAAGAGGCAGUGAUCUACAGGGCUCCAACUAGCCCACUGCAGAACUAUUCCUUUUCACUGGCUACAGGACUUGGUAGCUGUGUAGCCAACGUCUUCGGCUGCUGGAGAGAAGUGCCUUGGACGGAUACAACCUCUUCGACUGCUGGAGAGAAGUGCCUUUGCCUUGUUCAGUAGUGAAAGCUGUGGUUUUGCUCAACAUGUGCUGAGAUAAAGGAAGGGACUGCCAGAAGAAGGAGCCAGGCUAAGCUGUUGGGACUUAGAGCUGUAUGUCAGAAAAUUUAAGGUUGAAACCAAACAUCCAGUCCAGGCAUCUUUCAGUUCAGCAGCUCUAUUUUGUGAUGCACUGCCUCUCUGUCUCAACUACUCCUAAGUGGAGAAAAAUAAGACUGACUGGUGGAAGAAAGCCAGGUUGCAGGACCAGACUGAUUGGAUGAAACAGCUUCCUCCAGAUCAGAAUUUUGUUAAACACCAGGUAAACUUGAGAGGGGCUGGCUGUUUGGAUCUUGCUGAAGGCCAAGGCACUUGAUUGCUGGAACAACAGAUAUUUGAACCUGUAUUAUCCCAUGUUGAAAAUGUAUGAUUGUGAACUAUCUUCCAAGUUUUAUUCUAGCAUGAUUCUUCUUCCAUAAAAUAUUACUUAGCUUUUCACCAUAAAUUGGUGAAAAUAA
Molecule: non-coding RNA, 1082 nt
Organism: Pantherophis guttatus
Lineage: Eukaryota; Metazoa; Chordata; Lepidosauria; Squamata; Colubridae
Source: RefSeq, a predicted model, not a curated record